AUGGGAGGAUAAGAAUAUUUCCCUAAUAGGUCAGGAUGAAUCUAACUCCCUAAGAGAUGUAAUAUAUCACCUUUUAAAAUAGUACUUACCCGCUGCUAGCUCAGCUCUUACAACACCAAUAUGUAUAAAUUUAAACAGAUUUAGUCGAGUUUACCUUGUAUUAAUUCGAACUGCACGCGAAAUAAGAACACACGAUAAACACGAACAGUGUAUUAUAAUUUAAGUAAUAAAUUACAACACGAUACUUAAGUCUAAAAUAUAUAAAAAACUCUACGCGUAUAACCAAUAUAUAUUCCACCGAAUAGUGGCGUAAGUAGGAUCGCUUUUACCCACCUACGUGUAACUAUCAAAUUGCCCGCGUUGGGUAGCGAAUUUAGAAGACUUAAGUUUAAACGCGAAUACUCUCCCUUAAACACGAACGUUAAGGCAGAGGACCUGGGACUCAAGCACAACUCUUACGUAGGAGUGAGUGGCCUUAUUACUUUUCCGCGGUCAGACCUACCAGACGAAGCGCGAAUCGACAAGUGAAGAUCAAUUCCAUCUCAACUUGGCUUCUAGCCUCGAGUCGAGAAGGAAUUGAGCUUUACGAACUUGUGAGCUUUUCACAUCUGCCCUUAAUGGAACGAUGUGAAAACACCUCUUGGGUGGUUCCCACGUACUUAACACCUUACCUAAGUGCAUCGAGUAUAUGCUUUCAUCUACGUAAAGUACUGUAGAAUCGAACUAUUGAUUGGAUUCUCCAGUACUUCCUUUAGAUGAAAGAUUUAUAAUCCCACUGAGAGAGAUACGAUGAAUAUCCCUGUCUAGCCAGUGAAGGCAUAUUGUCCCCUUACAUUUGCCCCUAACGUGGGUUUACUUCUAAAGUAUCCCCUGAGGAAAUGUAGAGGAAAGCACGGAAAUUUUGAAAAAAGGUGACAUUGUGCUUCACUGGAUGUGACCCUAUUGCCCCCCGUACUUUGCUUGAGUGAUGCGGGGAAUAGUAAUCCCAAAAUAAAUUUUGAAACUCUUUGGUUUUUAUUAUAAUUCCAAAAGUGAGGUGAAUUUUGAGUGUGCUGGUGAGUUGACUCUUACUGAUAAAGAGUAACUACAAUUGACCAUCAAUAUUUGACCGAAGUCAAGAUAUCAAUAAAUCAAUCCAGAAGCUACCUUUGAUCUGGUCACUCCGCAGCAGGGUCAUGGCCGAAAUGGUAAGUAUUUAAGUACGAUUUAAUUUUUGAGGGGGAGGGUUAAUCUAAAAGGUACCCUUCCUCAAUUUUAUGAUUUCAGGAGAAGAUGAAAAAAGCUCAAGAAGUUCGUGGUUGUUUGGCUUUGUUGUCUUUGGAUAGUCUGACCAAGAAUUUUUGAAGAAAAAUUGCUGGUGUAUUUUGGUCAACGACGAUGACAAGAGAAUUACUUUGUUUAUCAAAAACUAAAGAUAAGUACAAAAACAUAUUUACAUUUUUAUCAAAUAAUGUAAAAUUUAAGAGCAUUUUUGUUUCUUAGGAUUAAUCAGUCUAAUUUAAACACAUGAUCGAUUUAAAAUAUCUGUACAUUUUUUAUUUCUAAAAAAAAAUUUUAGAGUUAUGAAAUAAAUUAAAUAAAAAAUGUUGUUUUUGUUUAGGACCAGUUCAGAGAAAGAUGGGUGAAACUUAAAAUAGGAUUGAGCCAAAGUUGAACCAGUCUGUUGGGAUAUUUUUCGUAUUUACAAUAAGUAAGAAGACAAAGAAGAUUUCCUUAACUAAUAAUGCACAGAUCCUUUUUCUUGGCUCAUGGACUUCUUUUCCAGGUUGUAUUUUCUUUUAGAAAAUAAUUUUAGAUAGAAAUUAAAAAUAGAA
This is a long non-coding RNA of Planococcus citri (citrus mealybug), 1814 nucleotides long. RefSeq lists it as uncharacterized. The transcript is spliced from 3 exons. The record is from RefSeq and is a predicted model, not a curated record. NCBI's taxonomy places the organism in Eukaryota, Metazoa, Arthropoda, Insecta, Hemiptera, Pseudococcidae.